This 648-nucleotide ribosomal RNA is filed under the name Enterobacteriaceae bacterium HGB0143. Its description in RNAcentral is "bacterial SSU rRNA". It matches the Rfam family "Bacterial small subunit ribosomal RNA", at positions 76 to 717 of the family's 1533-position model. Lineage: Bacteria; Pseudomonadati; Pseudomonadota; Gammaproteobacteria; Enterobacterales; Enterobacteriaceae. The record is from RNAcentral.
CAGCUUGCUGCUUUGCUGACGAGUGGCGGACGGGUGAGUAAUGUCUGGGAAACUGCCUGAUGGAGGGGGAUAACUACUGGAAACGGUAGCUAAUACCGCAUAACGUCGCAAGACCAAAGAGGGGGACCUUAGGGCCUCUUGCCAUCGGAUGUGCCCAGAUGGGAUUAGCUAGUAGGUGGGGUAACGGCUCACCUAGGCGACGAUCCCUAGCUGGUCUGAGAGGAUGACCAGCCACACUGGAACUGAGACACGGUCCAGACUCCUACGGGAGGCAGCAGUGGGGAAUAUUGCACAAUGGGCGCAAGCCUGAUGCAGCCAUGCCGCGUGUAUGAAGAAGGCCUUCGGGUUGUAAAGUACUUUCAGCGGGGAGGAAGGGAGUAAAGUUAAUACCUUUGCUCAUUGACGUUACCCGCAGAAGAAGCACCGGCUAACUCCGUGCCAGCAGCCGCGGUAAUACGGAGGGUGCAAGCGUUAAUCGGAAUUACUGGGCGUAAAGCGCACGCAGGCGGUUUGUUAAGUCAGAUGUGAAAUCCCCGGGCUCAACCUGGGAACUGCAUCUGAUACUGGCAAGCUUGAGUCUCGUAGAGGGGGGUAGAAUUCCAGGUGUAGCGGUGAAAUGCGUAGAGAUCUGGAGGAAUACCGGUGGCG